Molecule: ribosomal RNA, 1448 nt
Filed under: uncultured organism
Description: SSU rRNA
Rfam family: Bacterial small subunit ribosomal RNA
Source: RNAcentral
GAACGCUGGCGGCAUGCCUUACACAUGCAAGUCGAACGGUAACAGGUCUUCUGAUGCUGACGAGUGGCGAACGGGUGAGUAAUACAUCGGAACGUGCCCAGUAAUGGGGGAUAGCUCGGCUAAAGCCGGAUUAAUACCGCAUACGCCCUGAGGGGGAAAGUGGGGGAUCGCAAGACCUCACGUUAUUGGAGCGGCCGAUGGCUGAUUAGCUAGUUGGUAGGGUAAAGGCCUACCAAGGCGACGAUCAGUAACUGGUCUGAGAGGACGAUCAGCCACACUGGGACUGAGACACGGCCCACACUCCUACGGCAGGCAGCAGUGGGGAAUUUUGGACAAUGGGGGAAACCCUGAUCCAGCAAUGCCGCGUGUGCGAAGAAGGCCUUCGGGUUGUAAAGCACUUUUGUCAGGGAAGAAAUCCUUUGGGCUAAUACCCUAGGGGGAUGACGGUACCUGAAGAAUAAGCACCGGCUAACUACGUGCCAACAGCCGCGGUAAUACGUAGGGUGCAAGCGUUAAUCGGAAUUACUGGGCGUAAAGCGUGCGCAGGCGGUUGUGUAAGACAGGUGUGAAAUCCCCGGGCUUAACCUGGGAAUUGCAUUUGUGACUGCACGACUAGAAUGUGUCAGAUGGUGGUGGAAUUCCACGUGUAGCAGAGAUAUGCAUAAAUAUGUGGAGGAACACCAAUGGUCAAGGCCUCCCCCUGCGAUAACACUGACACUCAUGCACGAAAGCGUGGGGAGCAAACAGGAUUAGAUACCCUGGUAGUACACGCCGUAAACGAUGUCAAGUAGUCGUUGGGGAUUUACUUCCUUGGUAACGUAGCUAACGCGUGAAGUUGACCGCAUGGGGAGUACGGCCGCAAGGUUAAAACUCAAAGGAAUUGACGGGGACCCGCACAAGCGGUGGAUGAUGUGGAUUAAUUAGAUGCAACGCGAAAAACCUUACCUACCCUUGACAUGGCAGGAUCUUUCCAGAGAUGGAUUGGUGCUCGAAAGAGAACCUGCACACAGGUGCUGCAUGGCUGUCGUCAGCUCGUGUCGUGAGAUGAUGUGGUUAAGUCCCGCACCGAGCGCAACCCUUGUCAUUAGCUGGUACGAAAGGGCACUCUAAUGAGACUGCCGGUGACAAACCGGAGGAAGGUGGGGAUGACGUCAAGUCCUCAUGGCCCUUAUGGGUAGGGCUUCACACGUCAUACAAUGGUCGGUACAGAGGGUUGCCAAGCCGCGAGGUGGAGCCAAUCCCAGAAAGCCGAUCGUAGUCCGGAUCGCAGUCUGCAACUGGACUGCGUGAAGUCGGAAUCGCUAGUAAUCGCGGAUCAGAAUGCCGCGGUGAAUACGUUCCCGGGUCUUGUACACACCGCCCGUCACACCAUGGGAGUGGGUUAUACCAGAAGUGGCUAGUCUAACCGCAAGGAGGGCGGUCACCACGGUAGGAUUCAUGACUGGGGU